RNAcentral lists this ribosomal RNA (253 nucleotides) under uncultured bacterium. RNAcentral describes it as "partial 16S ribosomal RNA". It matches the Rfam family "Bacterial small subunit ribosomal RNA", at positions 524 to 776 of the family's 1533-position model. The record is from RNAcentral.
UACAGAGGUCUCAAGCGUUGUUCGGAUUCAUUGGGCGUAAAGGGUGCGUAGGUGGCGGGGUAAGUCUGGUGUGAAAUCUCGGGGCUCAACCCCGAAACUGCACUGGAUACUGCCUUGCUCGAGUACUGGAGAGGAGAUUGGAAUUUACGGUGUAGCAGUGAAAUGCGUAGAUAUCGUAAGGAAGACCAGUGGCGAAGGCGAAUCUCUGGACAGUUCCUGACGCUGAGGCACGAAGGUCAGGGGAGCAAACGGG